RNAcentral lists this ribosomal RNA (492 nucleotides) under uncultured bacterium. Its description in RNAcentral is "partial 16S ribosomal RNA". It matches the Rfam family "Bacterial small subunit ribosomal RNA", at positions 29 to 507 of the family's 1533-position model. The record is from RNAcentral.
AGUGAACGCUGGCGGUAGGUCUAACACAUGCAAGUCGAACGGCAGCACAGUAAGAGCUUGCUCUUACGGGUGGCGAGUGGCGGACGGGUGAGGAAUACAUCGGAAUCUACUAUUUCGUGGGGGAUAACGUAGGGAAACUUACGCUAAUACCGCAUACGACCUACGGGUGAAAGCAGGGGAUCUUCGGACCUUGCGCGAUUGAAUGAGCCGAUGUCGGAUUAGCUAGUUGGCGGGGUAAAGGCCCACCAAGGCGACGAUCCGUAGCUGGUCUGAGAGGAUGAUCAGCCACACUGGAACUGAGACACGGUCCAGACUCCUACGGGAGGCAGCAGUGGGGAAUAUUGGACAAUGGGCGCAAGCCUGAUCCAGCCAUACCGCGUGGGUGAAGAAGGCCUUCGGGUUGUAAAGCCCUUUUGUUGGGAAAGAAAAGCAGCAGGUUAAUACCCCGCUGUUCUGACGGUACCCAAAGAAUAAGCACCGGCUAACUUCGUG